Molecule: ribosomal RNA, 460 nt
Filed under: uncultured bacterium
Lineage: Bacteria
Description: partial 16S ribosomal RNA
Rfam family: Bacterial small subunit ribosomal RNA
Source: RNAcentral
CCUACGGGAGACAGCAGUGAGGAAUAUUGGUCAAUGGACGAGAGUCUGAACCAACCAAGUAGCGUGAAGGAUGACUGCCCUAUGGGUUGUAAACUUCUUUUAUAUGGGAAUAAAAUGUUCCACGUGUGGGAUUUUGUAUGUACCAUAUGAAUAAGGAUCGGCUAACUCCGUGCCAGCAGCCGCGGUAAUACGGAGGAUCCGAGCGUUAUCCGGAUUUAUUGGGUUUAAAGGGCGCGUAGGUGGAUUGUUAAGUCAGUUGUGAAAGUUUGCGGCGCAACCGUAAAAUUGCAGUUGAAACUGGCAGUCUUGAGUACAGUAGAGGUGGGCGGAAUUCGUGGUGUAGCGGUGAAAUGCUUAGAUAUCACGAAGAACUCCGAUUGCGAAGGCAGUUCACUGGACUGCAACUGACACUGAGGCUCGAAAGUGUGGGUAUCAAACAGGAUUAGAUACCCUUGUAGUC